CCAAUAGCGUAUAUUAAAGUUGUUGCAGUUAAAAAGCUCGUAGUUGAAUUUCGGGGUCGGUAGGUUGGUCAUGCCAUCGGUAUGCACUGGUCUCACCGAUUCCUCCCUCUUGUAGAAGCGUAAUGCCAUUAAGUUGGUGUUGCGGGGAAACAGGACUGUUACUUUGAAAAAAUUAGAGUGUUUAAAGCAGGCUAACGCUUGAAUACAUUAGCAUGGAAUAAUGAAAUAGGACGUCGAUCCUAUUUUGUUGGUUUCUAGGGUUGACGUAAUGAUUAAUAGGGAUAGUUGGGGGCAUUAGUAUUCAAUUGUCAGAGGUGAAAUUCUUGGAUUUAUUGAAGACUAACUACUGCGAAAGCAUUUGCCAAGGAUGUUUUCAUUAAUCAAGAACGAAAGUUAGGGGAUCGAAGACGAUCAGAUACCGUCAUAGUCUUAACCAUAAACUAUGCCGACUAGGGAUCGGAUGAUGUUAAUUUUUUAAUGACUCAUUCGGCGCCUUACG
This 499-nucleotide ribosomal RNA is filed under the name uncultured Glomeromycotina. RNAcentral's name for it is "partial small subunit ribosomal RNA". It matches the Rfam family "Eukaryotic small subunit ribosomal RNA", at positions 591 to 1092 of the family's 1831-position model. Lineage: Eukaryota; Fungi; Glomeromycota. The record is from RNAcentral.